Molecule: long non-coding RNA, 5812 nt
Organism: Phyllopteryx taeniolatus (common seadragon)
Lineage: Eukaryota; Metazoa; Chordata; Actinopteri; Syngnathiformes; Syngnathidae
Exons: 6
Source: RefSeq, a predicted model, not a curated record
GCCCAAAAUACAUUCUCCUCCUCUAAGGGGUGCACCGUGUCCCAAGUGUGAGAAGGAAGACCAUCAGGGGGAGGCGAGACGGUCUGCGGUGCCAGGGCGGGAGUCUUUCCCUUGUUGGGUUGCCUCCCCUUAUGGUGGGGGAAACAGCCAAUCGGGAAGGAAGCAGCGCGUGGACAACAGCUUUACUUUUAUGCCAUUUGCACACGAUAGGUCUACAGGAUUACAGAUGGUGUCAUAGUGCAGCCUUACACAAAGUAUACCGAUCUGGAUGAGGGAGCACUGCACUGUGGCAGAAUUGUCAUUCUCCAUGAACCAGGAAGUAGCCUGCUCGCACUGACUCAUGCCGCCAUCGCUGUGGACCAGUAGUAUCGGACUUUCUCAGGGCCAAGAUCUCCGCCGCUGUCACCCAGAACACUGAAACAAUCAGGAGUGUGUCCGCAGCCCAUCAAAUUUGAUCAAGGGCAGCGAAGGUGAUGAUAAUGAACCUCAAGAAAGCAUUUCACCCUCUACAAUGAUGGAGAGGAGAUACAGGAGGGAGAGCUUCAGGUUUCUUGCGGUCCUAGCUCGCCUGCUCCACAAACCUCUCUUACCACGUGGGGAAGGAAAAACCAAGAUCUCUUCCUCAGGAACCUCGAGAUCUUCCUUACAAGUGCCUGCUGCUGUAUGGUGAACGAAUGUCACGACCACGCGCCACAUUUACUCAAACUCUGCAAGAAACAACAGCGGCUUUGUCACGCGGCGCAGUCACGAGUUGGACCCGACGUGAACAUUUCAGCCCGCUUCUAACUUGACAAAACAGCAUGCGCACCGAGUUUCCCAUCUCCACAUCCUUGCUGCGAAGCUCGUGUCGAGAGAGGAACUCUAUGAUGCCGGCUCCGAUUGAAUCGCCCAAAACGUUGGUGGUGGUACGCAGACGGUCCCUAUCACACGAGAGAAAGAGGAUGUUAAAGAUCAGCGUUUACAACAUUGAUUCAUCUCCAUUUAACGUUUACAGAAGCAUCGGGCAGCAGCUUGAGCAGCGAAGCCCAGACUUCCCUCUCCCCGGCGGCCAUUUCGUCCAGCUCUUCCAGGGGGAUUCCAAGUAUUUCCUAGGCCAGCUGGGGGAGACAUAGUCUCUCCAGCGGGUCCUGGAUGGUCACUGUGACUUCCUCCCAGUGGGAGUGCUCUGAAAACCUCACCAGGGAGGCAUCCGCGGGGCAUCCUAACCAGAUGCCCCACCGACCUCAUCCGGCUCCUCUUGACGCAGCUCCCCUCUGAGCCCCUCUCGGAUGACCGAGCUUCUCACCCGGUCGGUCCUAAGUGAGCUCGCCCUGAAGAGUGAACUCCUUUCUGUGAUCUUAUUCUUUCGGUCACAACCCGCAGAUCGUGUCCAUAGGUGAGGGUGGGAACGUAGCUUUACCGGUAAAUUGCCGGCUUCACCUUUCGGCUCAGCUCCUUCUCCACCACAACAGACCGAUGCAGACUAGUCUGCAUAACUGCAGAUCAACUAGCGCCAAUCCGCUAGUUGAUCUCCCGCUCAAUUCUUCCCUCACUCAUGACCAAGACCCCACAUUACUUAAACUCCUCUACUUGGGACAUGAUCUCUUCCUGAACCCGGAGAGGGCACUCAACCCUUUUCUAACUGAGGACUAUAGCCUCAGAUUUGAAGGUGCUGAGUUUUAUCCCAACCACUUUACACUCACAGUAGCCGCGAACCGCUCCAGCGAGAGGUCAAGAGCGGAUCUUGAUGAAGCCAACAGAACCACAUCAUCUGCAAUAAGCAGAGACGUAAUACCAAGGUCACCAAACCGGACCCCUGCGACGCCUUGGCUGUGCCGAGAAACUCUGUCCAUAAAAGCUAUGAAAAAAAUCUGUAACAAGAUUCUGUCCAUUUACGUUCUGAACACAAUUGGUAACAAAGUGGAGCCUUGGCGGAGUCCAACACUCACUGAAAAGGCGCCAAUGCGGCCCAAACACCGACACAAGUCAUAAAAGGACCAAACGGCCCACAUGAGGGAGUGCAGUACCGCAUACUCUCGUAGCACUCUCCACGAGACUCCCCGAGGGACACAGUCGAAUGCCUUCUCCAAGUCCACAAAGCAGACUGGUUGGAUGAACUCCUACGCACCCUUCCAGCACCAUGCUGAAGGUGUAGAGCUGGUCGACUGUUCCUUGGCCAGGACGAAAACCACACUGAUUUGACUUCCUGACAGACCCUCCUCUCCAGCACCCCCAAUAGACUUUACCAGAUUGGGAGGGUGAGGUCUGUAAUCCCCCUGUACUUGAACCUCAAAAAAGGUGGACCACCACCCCAGUCUGCAAUCCAGAGGCCCGGGCGCCUGCCACAGAGGAGUUUUUUUUUUUAACUAGCUCUGCAACUUCAACUCCAGAGACAGGUGAGCCCGCUGCAGAACCCCCAGACUCUGCUUCCUCAUAGGAAGGCAUGUCAGUGGAAUUGAGGAGGUCAUUCCAAGUGCAUUCUAAUAUACAGUAAGUAUUCUCCCCACCGAUGACACUAAUUUAAAGUGGCGGUGUUCCAUACAUCAAGUCAACAAUGCAAAUCUUUAUGUGGUGCUAACAUGGUUCGGUCAAUGUUAGCUGAUUUACAAACAUCAACUACCCUCUGUUGUUUUAGAACAAUGUGAAUGAUGGUUUUCUACUCAUUUUUCCGAUGACUGUAUGCUCCAGAAAAAGGACAGAUGUUCAUAUUUGGACCAUCCUAGUUGAGGAGACAGGGAUUUUUCCACAUUGCCCCAGUUAGCUGAGCAAUUUCUGAAAAGGGUCUUCUAAUUGGAAUGAUUAAUUUGGGCAACCUAAUUACGUUUCUAUGUUAAAACUCAGUCCAGAAAAUAUUCAAUACAAAGGGAAAGAUGUAGAGCAGGACUUCAGGGAGAACGGAAAAGUGUGUCACUAGGUGGUAGUAGAGAUGAGGAUACGUUUGACCUUUAAAAUGACAACUGUGAUUCAUGUCGGCGCGUGAAGGCAGGUUCCGCUCUUCGCCGCGUCACGCGAUUACAUUUCCGACGGCACAGGGUACUCACAGGAACCAAUCGACUGCAAUGAUCAGAGUAAUGUCGUCGGUAGGAAGUCCAACAGACGUCAGUACAAUCACCAUCGUGACCAGGCCUGCUUGGGGGAUCCCAGCAGCUCCGAUACUCGCUGCGGUUGCUGUAAUACUUCAUUAAAGGGCAGAAGGUUCAUUCCUAUAUAUUUGCUAUUCGUUAUUAUAGUCGUCCUUUGUUCACUCUUACCUGAUGGUGAUGAUCUGACCAAAGUUCAUCUCCAUGUUGUUGACUUGGGCAAUAAAAAUGGCUGCCAGCGCUUCAUAGAGAGCGGUGCCAUCCAUGUUGAUGGUGGCACCCACGGGCAACACAAAGCGAGUAAUUCGCUUGUCUAUCUUGUUGUUCUCCUCCAGACAUUUAAAUGUGACAGGGAGGGUGGCCGAGCUGCGAGACGACACAACGGAAACGAGAAAUGUUUGCACCAAAGCAGACCUUACCGUGAAUUGGAUGCCGACGGUUCGAUUCGGGCCUCACCUUGAGGAGGUGCCCAACGCCGUGACCAGAGCUUGCACAAGGCCAGCGAUGAAAAUGAAAGGGUUCUGCCGAGUGAUGACAAAAUACAGCGUGGGAAGAAUAAGAACGCCAUGGAUCAUUAGGCCAAUUAUAACUGUGAUAGUAUACAUGCCCAACUGGCCACCCAUCUGUGUAAGAUCAUCCAUCUCCACUAUUUUCCCUGCAAUGAGGAACAGGAUGCCAAUAGGAGCGUACCUGAAAGGAGGAAGAGGUCAUGUUAAGAGCGCUGUACCGGAAAGACAAAUGGAACAGGAGGUGAAAAGUCAAGUCCUACCACAUGAUGAUGGCAACCAGCUGCAUGAUUGCUUCAUUGAGGCCGUCAAAGAAAUCCCUUAGGAGCUGGCCUUGCUCCUUCAUGUUGCCAAUUAUCAGCCCAAAACACAUCGAGAAGACCACCAAGCCCAGCGCGUUGACUCCAUUCACCUGACCGGGCACCGGUAUCACUUCCUCUCGGGUGAUCUCCAUGACCUCCUGGGUGUCGUUGGUUGUAUUAAAGAGGGUGUCGUUCACUGUCACCGUCACGUGAAUGACUCGUUUUCCGUAUUUUGUUUUGAACUGGACAAAGAAAUGAUGACGCUCGGUUAGAUAGGCCAGCCGACCGUAGAUACUCCACAUUCGCAUACGUUACAUCGUCAUCGUCCAUCCAUACUCAGCUGCCAUCAAAAAGUAUUUGGGGACUGCACCCAAGCGAGUAUACCUCGGCACCAUCCCAAUGAGCUGGAGCCAAGCCCAGCAGACUUCGGGCUCGAGGCGGGGUACACUCUGAACUGGUCACCAGCCAACCGCGGGGCACGUAUGGACAAAGAACCAUUCACACUCACGUUCAACCCUUCAGACAAUUUCGAGCCUUCAACUCACUUAAAAACAACAACAACAACAACAACAACAACAACAUCUUUUUGGACAAGGAGAACUCCAAACAGGAAGGCUAGAGCCCGGAUUCGAACCCCCCAACCUCGGAAACGUGAGGCAGAUGUGCUCACUCGAAAGCCGCCGAAUUCCUUGUGUGUUUUGGACAUACUUGGCAAAUAAAGAUGAUUCUGAUUCUGAUUCUGAUUCUGAUUCUGAGAAUCAGCAUGUCGGGACACAAGCACUUAGCAAAUGAGACGCGAAUGUGGGGGCUCACCUGUUGUGUGCAGGCUUGGACCAAGUUUGGAGGAAACAUAUUUCUGAAAUGAGAAUCCACUCACUUAGAGAUGAUUGAACGCAAAGAAGUAAGAAUGUUUCAUGCACCCGCGAGUAGUCUACUUUCUUACAAACCUUUUCCUGGGUGGAUGAUAAGGACAAUGAGGAUACCAAUGAAGACUGCAAUAAAGGUAGUGGUCAUGUAGUAAAUCACAGCUCUCAUGCCCAUUUUCCCGGAGGCUUUGCUGUCCAAAGCUGCCAUUCCUAAUGCACACAAGGGUGGGGGGGGAAAAAAACAUUACAGUAUUUAAGCAUCUGGACAUGAACGUUCUCAGAACCCCAGCGAAUACGGACGGGGAGAAUAUAUUAAUAGCACAUAGAAAGGCCCGAGGUGUCACACAUUUCAACUCUCUUAAUCAUCAAAGGUCAUGACUUUGACGCAGGCAAAAGCAAAUAAGAAAGCACGACUUUUCAAUCUGCCGUUAGCGGUAGCGUAUGCUCGCUACGAUCUAACUUCAGCCCCCACUUUAGACCAAAGCUGCGAGAGCAGAACCGGAGACGAGUAUGAUUGCAAGGAGUCUGGAACCUCGCUCACCGCACAGCACCCGACCGGCCGGGAUUCGUUCAAGCAAAAUGACGACGACUUCACGCCGUAGCUUAUUGGAAACCGCCGCCAAUAAAUACAGCUCAGAUCAGACGCUGAAAUGAUCUUAGGUUCAGCAACCUUUGUACCUGUUAUUAGACUGGAGACCAAUAAGGGUAGAACAAGCAUCUGCAGCAUUCUCAUCAGUAGCUCUCCAGGGAAAGAGAAGUACUUCACCUCUCGAUACGACAUCUUAUAGGGACGCAAUGCAAAUCCAAGAACGAUUCCUACGAAGACAACGAAGGUGUGGGUCAGGGCGUCUGUCAUCUCGUGUCCGAGGAAAUGCAUCGCCUUUACUUUUCGAUUUAGUUUGAAAAGGCAUACGUACCCACAACAACUGCGCCGACUGUGAAGAGCACAAAGGCAUUCUUUUUGAGGAAGGUCCGGAUGUCCUCUUUGGAGAUCUCCUCCACUUUCCUCUUGGCCUUCAUGGUGCGUAUGUGGAUGCCUUCUCUGAAACGCUGCAUCCUGCUGCGCUGGACCGAACAUU